This 254-nucleotide ribosomal RNA is filed under the name uncultured bacterium. RNAcentral's name for it is "partial 16S ribosomal RNA". It matches the Rfam family "Bacterial small subunit ribosomal RNA", at positions 524 to 776 of the family's 1533-position model. The record is from RNAcentral.
UACAGGGGGUGCUAGCGUUGUUCGGAAUUACUGGGCGUAAAGAGCUCGUAGGCGGCUUGUCGCGUCGACUGUGAAAACCCGUGGCUCAACCAUGUGGUCUGCAGUCGAUACGGGCAGGCUAGAAUUCGGUAGGGGAGACUGGAAUUCCUGGUGUAGCGGUGAAAUGCGCAGAUAUCAGGAGGAACACCGGUGGCGAAGGCGGGUCUCUGGGCCGAUAUUGACGCUGAGGAGCGAAAGCGUGGGGAGCGAACAGG